CAGCAGCCGCGGUAAUACAGAGGGUGCAAGCGUUAAUCGGAUUUACUGGGCGUAAAGCGCGCGUAGGUGGCCAAUUAAGUCAAAUGUGAAAUCCCCGAGCUUAACUUGGGAAUUGCAUUCGAUACUGGUUGGCUAGAGUAUGGGAGAGGAUGGUAGAAUUCCAGGUGUAGCGGUGAAAUGCGUAGAGAUCUGGAGGAAUACCGAUGGCGAAGGCAGCCAUCUGGCCUAAUACUGACACUGAGGUGCGAAAGCAUGGGGAGCAAACAGGAUUAGAUACCCUGGUAGUCCAUGCCGUAAACGAUGUCUACUAGCCGUUGGGGCCUUUGAGGCUUUAGUGGCGCAGCUAACGCGAUAAGUAGACCGCCUGGGGAGUACGGUCGCAGGACUAAAACUCAAAUGAAUUGACGGGGGCCCGCACAAGCGGUGGAGCAUGUGGUUUAAUUCGAUGCAACGCGAAGAACCUUACCUGGUCUUGACAUAGUAAGAACUUUCCAGAGAUGGAUUGGUGCCUUCGGGAACUUACAUACAGGUGCUGCAUGGCUGUCGUCAGCUCGUGUCGUGAGAUGUUGGGUUAAGUCCCGCAACGAGCGCAACCCUUUUCCUUAUUUGCCAGCGGGUUAAGCCGGGAACUUUAAGGAUACUGCCAGUGACAAACUGGAGGAAGGCGGGGACGACGUCAAGUCAUUAUGGUCCUUACGACCAGGGCUACACACGUGCUACAAUGGUCGGUACAAAGGGUUGCUACCUCGCGAGAGGAUGCUAAUCUCAAAAAGCCGAUCGUAGUCCGGAUUGGAGUCUGCAACUCGACUCCAU
This 813-nucleotide ribosomal RNA is filed under the name uncultured bacterium. RNAcentral's name for it is "bacterial SSU rRNA". It matches the Rfam family "Bacterial small subunit ribosomal RNA", at positions 509 to 1321 of the family's 1533-position model. The record is from RNAcentral.